CUCAACUGUUCCAGCUUAGCUCGGACCUGAUCUUCGUCAGCGUUCACACUAUAGAAAUAAAAGCAGAUUUUCUUUGUUAGGUGAGAAACAGCCAAUGGAAAGAAGCCAGGGAUUGAGGUGAAGGUUGUGAAGAACAGAGUCAGUGAUGUGUGAAUUCCUCUCUGAGUCUUUACUUGGCCUUGCGGAAACCUGGCCGCGUCAGGAGAUGCCAAUUAUGUCAAGUCCACUGAAUCUGGAGCCAGGGACACCUAUGACUAUUGGCUGCGUGAACUUGUCGAAGACAUGCCCCAGACCGCUGCCUGUUUGCUCAUCUGGAAACAGAAAUGGCUCAUUUUAUGACUAUUGGUUUGGGUGGAUCCUUGGGAAAAUCAUUAGUGUAUUGUUUUUUAAUUUCUUCCUGUCAACAUGAGAAAAAGGGAAAUAUAAAGUGAAACAUGACAACUGAUUAAAAUCUUCAUGGGAAACUGAAACUUAAGUAAUCAGUAUGACUCAUCAAGUUAUUUCUAAGAACUAUUCCAGGAGAUAGCUGUAAAUCAGAAUUCCUUGCCCUUGGUACCAUUGGCAUUUGGGUUGGAUAAUUCUGUUGUAGGAACCUAUUCCAUGUAUUGUAGUAUAUUCACCCAGCAUCACUGUGUAUAUCCACUUGAUAUCAACAGCACUCUUUGACAGUCAAAAGUGUCUUUCUGCCUGGCCGGCAUGGCUCAGUGGUUGAGUGUCAACCUAUGAACCAGGAGGUCAUGAUUCCAUUCCUGGUCAGGGUAUAUGCCCCGGUUGCAGACUCAAUACUCACUCUCAUCAUUGAUGUUU
Pipistrellus kuhlii (Kuhl's pipistrelle) is the source of this 807-nucleotide long non-coding RNA. RefSeq lists it as uncharacterized. The record is from RefSeq and is a predicted model, not a curated record. The transcript is spliced from 3 exons. Lineage: Eukaryota; Metazoa; Chordata; Mammalia; Chiroptera; Vespertilionidae.